RNAcentral lists this long non-coding RNA (506 nucleotides) under Gouania willdenowi (blunt-snouted clingfish). Its description in RNAcentral is "lncRNA (ENSGWIG00000017796.1)". The record is from RNAcentral. Lineage: Eukaryota; Metazoa; Chordata; Actinopteri; Blenniiformes; Gobiesocidae.
GACAGUGAGGUCUCAGACAUGGAGACGGAGAAGGACUCUUGUUUGAGACGUCCAUCCUCAGAAUCCUCAGGAGGAAAAAGAAAGACGCCUUCCUCUGAGUGUGGUGAGGACACCCUGUCCUCAGCAUCCUCUACACCAAGAAGGCCACACCAUGUCGAGUCAGACUGUGAUGAUGCUGAAGCAGGACCCUCUGAAGCAAAGAGACAAACUGUGACAUCUAUAACGGAUGACUCUGAAGAAGGAACCCAAAGAUACAACCGAGCACAGCGAGGUGAAUCCUCUGUUACAGGUAUGGCACAGUCUGGACAGUUUACCCAUUACCUUUUUCAACACAACCACUAGGUAGGCAUUAUUAGUGUUAUUGAAACACAUUAUGUAAAUUGGUUGAUUUAUCUUCCUGUAUGUUUUUUAUUAAACAAAAUAAGAAAUAAGAUUGUUAAUGCCAAACAAGAUGGUUGCGCUACAACUACAAAAAUCCUACGUAUAUAUUGUGAACUUGCUGCCCU